UAAGACUUGUAAACUACUAGUUUACAUCUUCUGAAUGCAACUCAGACACUUUCAUUAAGCUAAAGCCUU
Molecule: transfer RNA, 69 nt
Filed under: Anolis antonii (Anton's anole)
Lineage: Eukaryota; Metazoa; Chordata; Lepidosauria; Squamata; Anolidae
Description: tRNA-Ala
Source: RNAcentral